UCUUUUUUUCACUGACAUAAUCAGUUGACCUCAAAUUGUUCCUUCCACUUUUACAGAAUCUUCACAAAUUUUUCCUUCUAUGUGUUAGAAGCCUUCUUUGCACCUUCUUCCUUUCAAAACUACUUGCUUGUACCUCUGCUUCACUGACCCCAUAAUUACAAAUCCUAUCUGAAAAUAAUUCUUCUUUCCUAAUAUUUUUCUUAGCUCUGUGAGAAAAGUGCUUUGCUGACUAUUAUGUAAAAUUCUCUUUCCUGCUGUAGCUACCUCUAAAAUGUUCUGGAAUCCAGUAUGUAAAAAAAUGCUAUGAAGAACUGUGUAUGCUUUGCACACACAAACGGGAUGUGUAAAUUACGAGGAUUACUAACGAAAGAACAAGAUUACAGGGGAAUCACUGGUAGUUAGUUACAGGGAAGCAUUAAAGUACUUAAGACCACGAGUCUCCAUUAGACUUCAAUAGGAUUUGUAUUUCUAACACCGUUUGCUGGGGGUUUGUUUUGUUUUAAGUAUUACUACUAUUAAUAAACAAUGAGCACCUCAUUAUACUAUAGUCUUACACAAAAUUAAUCAUUAAGAUUCAGUGCCUUGAAGUAAAAUAUUAUUACAAGAAAAUAUUCACAAUAGAACUCAGGAAAUUUACACUAAAAAUAAAUAGAAAGAACUGAAUCUUCUGAAUAUACUGAAGUUCAUAAUGAAAGACAGCAACAAAAGAUUCUCUCUGACUGUAUAGCAACACUGUCUUCCUGUCUUUCCAUUUAUUUUCUUUUCAUAAUAUAGAUGUUGUGUUACUUUUACAUAAAAGUAAUUUUGGUUUGCAGGUUUGGUUUUUGUUUGUUGUUUUUUUAAAGUGCUCUAAGCCGUUUGAAGACAUAAAUUAAUGAGUGGCACUUUGAAUUUAAAAAAAAAUAAUCAUAAAGCAGAAUUUCUUAACUGUUUUUAUACACACAGGGAACACUUAUAAACUAACUAAAAGGAUAUAUACAUUUCAAUAAUAUUAUCUCUUCUAAAUAUACAAGAUCAUCUAGAAAUCUGUAGUCUCCUAACAAAACAUUUAGGUACAUUUUACUGUACAUAUCUCUAGCCCUGUUGACCUUAUGCUAAAAAAUUCCAGUGGCUUCUAUUCAUUGUCAGCUAAGACUCAAUGCUUUCACAUAACACAGAUUUUUUCUUUUCAAAGCCAGCUAUGGGAAAUAUUAACCCCUAUCUCAUCUAGGUUUCUAUCUGGAGAGUGACAGAUUAUGUGGAUUUGACAGUCUUGCAUACACAAGAGCUCUAUAAUUAAUUUUAUGUGCAUGAAAGCAUAAAUACAUAUGGGUACACAUUUUAUCAUCUGCAUUCUUUUUUAUGCUGAUUCAUUGUAAUGGUAGUAGAGAUCCAGACCAGUGUUUGAGGUGAUGCUGAAGAAAAAUUGGCUGCUUGUCUUUAUUUUGCAUGGUACUAAAUAUCACAUCAGAAUGCACCACACAAAGGACUCAAAAUUUCCUCUCUGAAAUAAAAAUAGUACAAGAGCUUAUAACCUCUGCUGCUUUUGAAGUUUUCUCACUAUGAGAAGACUGAUAGUGAGGCUAUUUGGUGUUCAAACUCAUUGGUAAAGUGAACAAGCAUCACCAUCUCAUACCAGUAAGUAUAAAAUGGGGAGACCCUUUUCAAGAGAAGGUGGUAACUGGCAUUAUUUUAAAAUAAAAAUUAUCAUCAUAAUCCGUAAUUAAAGAUUAAUAACCAAGGAAGAACACCUGUAACAUUUCACAAGAAAGUUUUGGAGGUGCUCUACUUUCCCUGUUAAGGUUUUGGAUUCCACUUGCCAAACAUUGUUUUAUUCAAGGGCUAAGAAUUCUCGAUGGUCUCUUUCAUCCUCUUUCUCUGAAGGAGAGGAAUUCAUUCAGUCAAAACUGUUUUUCACUUCUAGCAAUUCAUAGGACCAUGCAAAAACUGUGAAUUGUUACUUAACCUACUAACAAACACAGACAAUAGCAGAAUAAAACACUAAACUGGAGACUGACAAAUUACAUUAUUUUUCCAGUGCCAAGUCAUGUUCCAAAGCAGAGUUGGUGCAGACAUACUCCUUCUGACUCCGGAUCUUUUCUACAGAAUUUUUUCGAUUUGUCAAUGCCAUGCAUUGCUGC
Molecule: long non-coding RNA, 2120 nt
Filed under: Strigops habroptila (Kakapo)
Lineage: Eukaryota; Metazoa; Chordata; Aves; Psittaciformes; Psittacidae
Description: lncRNA (ENSSHBG00005012239.1)
Source: RNAcentral